Non-coding RNA from Bufo gargarizans (Asiatic toad), 134 nucleotides. RefSeq annotates it as small Cajal body-specific RNA 3. The record is from RefSeq and is a predicted model, not a curated record. The transcript has a single exon. NCBI's taxonomy places the organism in Eukaryota, Metazoa, Chordata, Amphibia, Anura, Bufonidae.
UCUGGAAGCUGAACUAUUCCUUGUGUGCAGAUGAAGUGUCUGCCCACGUCAUCAGGCUUCCUAUAAUAAUGUCCUGGCGAUCUCUGUCUGACUCUGUACAGUGCACAGUGCCAGAUCGUUCCUCUCCAUACACU